GGAGCCCAGCUCCCAAAAUCCACUCAGCAGCCACACCAGUGGGGAUUGUCAGACAUCGCACCUCAGGGAGGGAGGGACGUGGUGCUGAGGGGCGCUGAGGGGAACCCUACGGCUCCCGAACCGGGGCGUGACGGGAGAGGGGCGCUGAGGGGAACCGGUGCCCGGGGUCCCACUGCUCAGGGCGAGGGUUUUUUGAGGUGCCCUCCAGCCGAGGAAGGAGGGGGGCGACCGAAACCAAACACAGCUAGCCCCGCGACCCCCGCGGGCUCGCCCUGCGCCACAGCCGGGUCCCGGCGUGUGCCGGGGCCGGGGCCGGUCGGAGCGGCGCUCCCGCUCCCACUUCGCCUUGGCAGGGCACCGCCAUCAGACGGAGUGGGAGGAAGGAACAUUAACUCCAGCAGCUGUUUCUUGACCCCGGCUGUCAGCCUGCCCGAGAACACAUCAUCUGUGACCAGAAAGCACGCAGGCAUACCUGCACCACUGUCCUCAUCUGUGCCGAGAAGCCCUAAGAGAUGGAAAGCUUUGGCUGGCAAAGUGCUGAUCGUUAGUGCAGCUUGUGCUCAGGAAGUGCUCAAAGGACACGUGUACCUUUCACUGAGUGAGCAGUCCCACUUGCCUUGGCAGGAUGAUUAUGUUCUGGAGAAUAGGAGUGGGAGUUCCUGUAAUAGUUUGUCCAGUGUAUGCUUCUGUCUGUGCCAGCUUUGGGGGGCAGAUGAGACAGCAGUGACAGUGUCUCAGCACAAGCUUCUAGGUCUGAACUACAGAGGAAAGGAUGCUGGUAGUGGCUGUGCAAUCCUCUAUCUGAAAGUCCUGAGGUUACAGGGCACAUUUCUUUGA
RNAcentral lists this long non-coding RNA (837 nucleotides) under Anser brachyrhynchus (Pink-footed goose). Its description in RNAcentral is "lncRNA (ENSABRG00000008847.1)". Lineage: Eukaryota; Metazoa; Chordata; Aves; Anseriformes; Anatidae. The record is from RNAcentral.